Molecule: long non-coding RNA, 2560 nt
Organism: Lycium barbarum (goji berry)
Lineage: Eukaryota; Viridiplantae; Streptophyta; Magnoliopsida; Solanales; Solanaceae
Exons: 2
Source: RefSeq, a predicted model, not a curated record
GAAUACAUAAAAAAAAAAAAAAAAAAAAAAAAAAAAAAACAAAACAAAGGAGAGAGCGUUUAUAUUCCUCUUUUUGUUGCGCAUGUUAAUUAAUUGUCUGUAAUUUUAGUGUUAAUACGUCUUUUGAUUUGUGGUUUUGCAUCAUCUAUUCGUAUUUGGAUUUUCAGGUUUGUAAGAUCUCUUACGACAGAAUUAGUUUAUGUUUUCCAUCGUAGUUCUUCUUUGAGUACAAUAGGUCUAGGUGUACUUCUUUUUAUGUUCCAAUUAGUGUCAUCUUGCGCGUGGAUAAGUUUCAUGACAGGACCUAGCCACGAAAGGUUAGUUUGGUUAAAGAGUAAAUAACAGCAAAUCCAUUAAAAAUAGAGGAAAAUCUGACAGUGUUGUUUAUCUAUAUGAAUUUGUAAAAAUGAAGGAAAAGAUAAGGAAGGAAACAUUCCUAUUAGAUGUUGGUUCUCACUUCUCUUACCUGUGUAUUGUAAUUCCUGUUGCAGCUUUUUCUGAAUUUGCUUUUGUGUGAGAGGAUUUGAGCAAAUUCUGCAUAAGUUGAUGCACCUAUUUUUUUCUUGGCGGAAGAAGGGAAAUAAUAGUUACCAAAAGACAAUUGUGUAAUUUGGACAAAGAUUUUAGUGGAGAUGAUAGAGUAAGUGAUCGCACUGCUCUCAUACUGGAUAAUUUCAACCAGCAAAUGGCAACCUGUGAAGCAUCUUUACAGGCAAGUCCAAUUUUAAUAUCGGUAUUGCAUCUUGAGAUUUUUGCACUUUUGCAUAACCAGUGUGAAUUUGUUCAGGUAUCAUUGGCACAAAUGGAAUACUAAUUACCACGGCUAACCUGUAUGUGGACUCCAUUUGAGUGUCAAGCUGGAGGAGGGGUCAAGGGUAUGGGUGAAAAACAAAUUGAAGUAGACAAGAGAAUUUUACAUACUUAAGUAAGCAAUUUUCAUUUAUCAUCAUAAAUUAUGCAUGUUUGUAGUGGUAAGUAACUUUCUGUCCAGUUCAGAUUUAAGUAGAGCUACAUAUCAACCCUCUAUAUUUAUUUACUUGGAUUGUGGUGUGAGUAAUAUUUUGAUCAUUAGUUCUCAGAUCUGAUUUUUUGCCUGUGAUAGUUUUCAAUUUGUUACUGGUUUUUGUAACAUUUCAAGUGGCCUUUGUAUGUGCCUUUGGCCUUCCCAAAUUUCAACAGCAAAAUGCUUCUUGCGAGCACCACCACACCAAAUUUCAUAGAGAUAAGAUACUAAGGACUCGUUUGGCCAUAAGAGUUAUUCACUUUUUUCCUGAUUUUUUUUUCAUUUUUUUCAAGAAUUAGUGUUUGACCAUGAAAAUUCCAACUAAAACUUGAAGGUGUAUUUCCAACUAAAACUUGAAGGUGUAUUUGGAAUUUGAAAAACAAGAAAAACUUGUUUUCCACAACCAAAACCUUGUUGAAAAAGUACAUUUCAACAAAAAAUACUAUUCGCAAAAACUAUGGCCAAACACAACUCCAACUCCAACUCCAAAAUUCCAAAAAAAAGUGAAAAAGUUUUUGGUUUCUAUGGCCAAACGCCUACUAAAAGUUCACUGAUGCACUACUGAUAGAGUAAAUGAUCUCGCAAGUAGCUGUGAAACCUUUUGAUUAGUGACCGCGAAGGAUGUGAUUGCCGGGGACAAGUUGUCUUUAACUAAGUACUGUAAGAAAGUGCAGCAGAGUAUCUAAUCCAUCUACUCUUGAGAUUGGAAGUGUCUCACAAUAUAAAUCUAGAUUGUUACUGGAUAAUUGCAUUUUGAUAUUUAUCAGGUGUGCAUGUGUGUAUGAAGUAUGUGCCUCAUUUUCGAGGAAUCCUUAGGCUAGCGAGCUAUAUGUAAAAUGACCCAUUUAUUCAGGGGGUUUGAAUGAAGGCUCACCUCUUCUGGGCUUAAACUCAAGUCUACGCAUGACUAUUCCGGGACUAUAAUAUUUUUUUGAUUUCAUCCGAAGGUUUUAGCUAUAUAUCAAUAUACAAGUGCCUUUACCUAGAGUGCAAGUAUAACCCGACUUUGCUAAAAUCUCGGUGUCCUUCCCAUUUAAAUUUUCCAUAUCUAUUAUUACAUUUAGCAUUGAACUUUUGUUUAAUUGAAUUUCUUUUUCAGUUUCAUUUCAUCAAAAAGCAUGCCCCAAAAGUAUUCGAAAUCAUUCUACAAAAUAAAGUCUGAAUAUGCAAUGCAGGUCAGUGCCGAGAUGGACUUCAAGGUGAGUGUUCAGCUAAUUGAAAAUGCUUUUUAGAAUUCUUAAAUUUCGUUCACUGCUCAGCUUACCCCACAGAGAGGACAGAUAAAAUGGUUUGGUUUGGCAUCUCAGUGAAAGAAUUACCAAUGCGUUGACCUGUUCAAUCUUUGAUAUCUAAUGUAGUGAAAGCAUUACCAAUGCCGUUGGUGUGCUCAUAUGUAGUCUUUGAAGUUGAUUUUGCCUGGGGAAGGCUCUUUUAUGUUAGUUGUUCACUCUGUCGAAAAAAGAAUAAAUGUAAAUGUAUAUGUAUACGUAUAUAUAUGUUGAUCGAAUUGAACCAUGGGUGUCUUUGAAUGAGAAAGAUAUGUCUAUAUGUGAAUCA